This is a long non-coding RNA of Lathyrus oleraceus (garden pea), 1754 nucleotides long. RefSeq lists it as uncharacterized. The record is from RefSeq and is a predicted model, not a curated record. Lineage: Eukaryota; Viridiplantae; Streptophyta; Magnoliopsida; Fabales; Fabaceae. The transcript has 3 exons.
UAUCUUUUUAAGCUUUGUACAUAUUUUCUAUAUUAUAUGUAUUUUUGUUUCCUUCACGUUUUUGCUCAAGUGUUGGUUAGGGGUAGCCGUCGGUGAACAACUAGCCAAAUAAAGAAACACUGAGAAGGGGCGUCCAUUUCAAAUUGUCUUAGCUAUUCUCUCCCUCUAACACAUGCCUCGUCGAUGUCUUGGCUCCGCCAUGUUGGAGGCAUGAGAGCGGUCCAAAAUAGCCAAUCACCACCAACAAUGUGUUCGUUUUGAUGUCUUCUUUCUCAUAUACGCUCCAAUUCAUCCUCAAACUCAGUAAAACUUCCAAACCGAAUAAAAAACUUCAAGAACCCUAAACAAUUCUAAUGAAAUUAAAUGGGGAUGGUAGCUUGGAUGGAACCCAAACCUUAGGGGUUUGGUUCCUCUAUUGCAAAGCUACAUCGUGGCAACCAAAAUUAAGCAGGAGGAAGAGGAAAUGAGAGCCAACCUUCAAGGAGAAGGCUUCCCCGAUGUGUGCUGACACUGAAGAAGAUGAAGUUGAAGAAUCAAUAAUACCAUAGGAACUUCUAAGAGGAUGCUUUGGAUUGGGGUUGAGCUAGCUUGUUUGUAGUGGUGAAGUGAGCUAUUUGCAAUCCAUUUAGUAGGGCUAUCAAGUUGAACCUGAGCUGAGUUGGUGAAUGGUGCAAUUGGUCUAAACUACAACAGGUUUUUAUGAUAUGGAUGACACUUUUCAACCAACACAAAAAAAGCCAAAGAGAAAAAUGGAGAAAGUAUCUAAUUUACACCAUUUUCAAGUUGGAUUGUUUUAUGAAGUGAUUGAUCGAUAACUUCAAGAGUUGAACAAUCGUUUUACAUAAGUGAAUACUGAGUUUCUCCUUGGUGUAACUUGUUUAAGUUCAAGAGAUUCAUUUUUUGCAUUUGAUAAGGAGAGGUUGAUUCGUUUAGCUCAAUUUUAUCCUUCAGAGUUUUCUCAAGUUGAAUUAUUGACACUAGAUUGUCAGUUUGAAAACUAUUUCUUAGAUGUAUUCUGUGACAGUGAAUUUUCAGAAUUAGAGGGGAUUGGUGAUCUUUCUAUCAAACUCGAAGAGACCAAAAAACAUGUUGUGUACCCUUUGGUAUAUUUGCUUUUAAAGUUAUCUCUGAUAUUACCGGUGACAACUGCAACAGCUGAAAGAGUUUUCUCUGCUAUGAAUAUUAUCAAGAAUCGAAUGCGAAAUCGCAUGGGUGACGAUUGGUUAAAUGAUUGCUUAGUUACUUACAUUGAGAGAGAUAUUUUUGUUGAUGUUGAAAAUAAGAAAAUCAUUCAACGUUUUCAAAGCAUGAAAAAUCGUAGAGAACAAUUAUGAUUUAUAUUUAUAUUUUUGAAAAUGAAAUGUUAUAUUUAUAUUGACCCCACUACUCAAAAUUUCUGGCUCCGUCCCUGCCUACAAGUUAUGUUUGAUUAAUUUGGAUGUUUUGGUGUAUUUGUGCUAUUUGGGCAUUGUGGUUGUAUUGAAGGUUUAAUCUAAUUGAGGAUUAUGGACAAGGCCAUGGGUAAUUAGACUUUUUGAAAGAUCAAGUUUUAUGGAGGGUUUUAGGUUUAGGAGUCGACUUUGGUCAACUGGUUGACCAAAAAGUCAACAUUUGGUUAGAGUCAACUAUAAGCCAAAACUUGUAAUUUUUGUGUAGAGUUUGUAACUUGGAUUUUGAAUGAUGUAAUGAAUGACUUGAUGAUUUGUAAUGUUUGAAAGUUUGUAAUGAAAUGAUGUAACUUAUUUUUCAAGAAA